GGGAAUUGUUCGCAAUGGGCGCAAGCCUGACGACGCAACGCCGCGUGGAGGAUGAAGGUCUUCGGAUUGUAAACUCCUGUUGCCCGGGACGAAUGGCUUCGACCUAAUACGUCGUAGAGUGACGGUACCGGGUGAGCACGCCCCGGCUAACUCUGUGCCAGCAGCCGCGGUAAUACAGAGGGGGCAAGCGUUGUUCGGAAUUACUGGGCGUAAGGGGCGCGUAGGCGGCCUGCUAAGUCGAACGUGAAAUCCCCGGGCUCAACCCGGGAACUGCGUCCGAUACUGGUAGGCUUGAAUCCGGGAGAGGGAUGCGGAAUUCCAGGUGUAGCGGUGAAAUGCGUAGAUAUCUGGAGGAACACCGGUGGCGAAGGCGGCAUCCUGGACCGGUAUUGACGCUGAGGCGCGAAAGCCAGGGGAGCAAAC
This 423-nucleotide ribosomal RNA is filed under the name uncultured bacterium. Its description in RNAcentral is "bacterial SSU rRNA". It matches the Rfam family "Bacterial small subunit ribosomal RNA", at positions 357 to 773 of the family's 1533-position model. The record is from RNAcentral.